This is a small nuclear RNA of Hippopotamus amphibius kiboko, 107 nucleotides long. The record is from RefSeq and is a predicted model, not a curated record. Lineage: Eukaryota; Metazoa; Chordata; Mammalia; Artiodactyla; Hippopotamidae.
GUGCUCGCUUCAGCAGCACAUGUACUAAAAUUGGGACUCUGCAGAGAAGAUUAGCACAGCCCCUGGGCAAGGAUGACAUGCAAAUUCAUGAAGUGCUCCAUAUUUUU